UGGGGAAUCUUGGACAAUGGGCGCAAGCCUGAUCCAGCCAUGCCGCGUGGAUGAUGAAGGCCUUAGGGUUGUAAAAUCCUUUCGCCGAGGACGAUAAUGACGGUACUCGGAGAAGAAGCUCCGGCUAACUUCGUGCCAGCAGCCGCGGUAAUACGAAGGGGGCUAGCGUUGUUCGGAUUUACUGGGCGUAAAGCGCGUGUAGGCGGGUCGUUAAGUUGGGGGUGAAAUCCCGAGGCUCAACCUCGGAACUGCCUCCAAAACUUCCAGCCUGGACUCAAGUAGAGGCAAGUGGAAUUGCGAGUGUAGAGGUGAAAUUCGUAGAUAUUCGCAGGAACACCAGUGGCGAAGGCGACUUGCUGGACUUGUAGUGACGCUGAGACGCGAAAGCGUGGGGAGCAAACAGGAUUAGAUACCCAUGUAGUCCCUGAGCGGGCUGGCAAGGCGCAU
RNAcentral lists this ribosomal RNA (447 nucleotides) under uncultured bacterium. Its description in RNAcentral is "bacterial SSU rRNA". It matches the Rfam family "Bacterial small subunit ribosomal RNA", at positions 355 to 825 of the family's 1533-position model. The record is from RNAcentral.